This is a non-coding RNA of Equus caballus (horse), 6015 nucleotides long. The record is from RefSeq and is a predicted model, not a curated record. Lineage: Eukaryota; Metazoa; Chordata; Mammalia; Perissodactyla; Equidae.
GCCCGCUCCUCCUCCGCUCCGCCAGUGUCCGGCCGCGGGCCGGCCUUAGUGACCGGGGGCGCGGGGCCGGGGCCGCGGGCGCGGGGCGGGCGCGGGCGCGGGCUGCCUUGGUCGGGCCCCCAGCUCGCCCGGAGCCUCCUCGCCCGCUCCCGCCGGCGAGCAAGAUGAUGUGCGAGGUGAUGCCGACCAUCAGUGAAGCAGAAGGCCCCCCGGGAGGAAGUGGGAGCCAUGAGUCCGGCUCCCCUUCGCAGCCAGACGCGGAUUCACAUUUUGAACAGUUGAUGGUGUCCAUGCUCGAAGAGAGGGACCGUCUUCUUGACACACUGAGAGAGACUCAGGAGACGCUGGCGUUAACCCAGGGGAAGUUACACGAGGUUGGCCAUGAAAGAGAUUCCUUGCAGAGGCAGCUGAACACUGCCCUCCCGCAGGUACGGAGGCCUUUCUCCUGGAACCCUGCAGAUUGGUUUCCACUGAACGUUAUUUGAUGUGUCGUCUUCUGUGGUGUUACUAUCUCAGAUGAGUGUUCUGCGUGACCACGUGGGAAGUGUGCUUCUGGUAUUCGUAAGCCACGUAUAGAGAAGGUUCUCCAGGGUUCAACAUCUUAGGGAGAACAGACUGUGCUGCUCUGAAGUCAGGUGAAAAUACCUCACAAGGCCCUUUCCUUUCUUUGGGCAGCAGAAGGAACUGCCUAGAUUCAGGAGAGGGCCCCGGAGUUUUUGAAAAAGGGCCAUGGAGCACCCAGGCUGUGUGGUGCCUUCUGACCUGUCGUCUUAAGCCAUUUCUUGCUGAAUGUGUAUUUCCCGUGGGUUUCAUCAUAUAUUUCCAAUUUCCUAAUGAAAUUUAGUGGACAAAUAGGAUGAAUUUCACAGAGAAGAUAGUUUUACACACCACCUUUAUUAGAACACCUGUGUUUUGUAAAUCAAAUCUGUUUUAGGGGGUGGAAGACUGGAGGUUGACCCCUUUGGAACUUUGUCCUUGGCAGAUGAGAGUUACAAAGCUUAGAGUCACACUGAACUUGUUAGUCCGGGUGUGUUGGCGUUGGGACCAGGGUGUAGAGCCUUUCCUUCGGGAGCUGAGUGAGGGUGUCGUGGCAGGUGAAGGAGGAAAGUGGCACCUAGGAAAGUGGAGGGUACGUGGGUUCCGGGGGCCUCUGGGCUGUCGUGGUGCCGUUUUACUUGCUCGUAACAGGUGCCUCUGUGGUGCUUUCAGGUGGACCGAGUGGGUGCACACUUACACUCUCGUGAUGGGUCUGCAGCACUGAGUUAGGAGAUGAGUAAUGACAAGCUUAAUGCGCUUCUUGGCUUAGUCAGUCCUUCUGAAAGAUUGAUUAGCCAAACAUUUGGAUUUCCUUUUUAACAACUAAUUCAUGCUAUGCAGGGCUAUAAUGCUCCUUCUCUGUUGGGUUAGAGAAUCAUUAAGUUUUUUGUCAUCUGAAUCUUAUAAAUUACCAAGUUCGUUUAGGUCAAAUUUUAUUACCACAAGCUUAGAAGGAUUGGCCAAAUUAUGUUUUACUGGGAUUUUCAUAUAUUUAUCUUUUCAGUAGUUUUGUUUGUUUGGUUUUGUAACUGUGUUUGUUUUCAUGUAAUUUGGGGUACUUACACUGAAGUGUGUGUCAAAUACCGCACAUUUGAUAAGGUGGUUUUUGAGAGAAUGGGCUCAGGGGCCCUCGCAGGGAAGGGACAGGAGUGUGUGCAGUCCAGUCUGGAGCGGCGGAGGCCAUCGCACCGGCGGAGGAGCCGGUCGCUCAGUGGUUUGUUUCCAGCCACUGCUCAGUGUUGUAGCCUGGAAAUGCCUCGCCGGGUGGAGAAGGCGGUGACGUCAGCGGUCCCUGAGCCCAGCGUUUCAGAAACGCAGGAACCACUGAGUGAACACUUUCAGGACCCUUCCGAUUCCUGGCGUUUGUCUCAUGUUUCGUGGCUAAUAGUGUGACCAGAGAGGCGUGUGCUUAACUAAAUGCAUUUGUCUUCCUGGCACUUUAUGUAGGCACGUAAUGCUGUACUUAUAAAAGAUUUAGCUGUAGCAUACAUCAGAGAAUUUCCCCAAGCAUAAGUGUGCACCUCAGUGACUUUUUCACUAAGUGAACACACUCUCGUAACUACCGCCUACAUUAAGGAGUGAAACAUGGCCAAGCUUCCCAGAAGCCCCCUCGUCCCCACUCCCAGGAACUGUCCCCCAAAGCCGGCAGUGGUCUUGGCUUUCCACCAUUGAUGACUUUCCCGUGUGCUUGGCUGUCUAAGUGAAAUAAAGUUAUACGUACAUUUGGUUUCUUGGUUCUUUCAUUCAGUAGUACCUUUGUGGGAUCCACUCGCGUUGUCUCGUAGCUUUGUUCUUUCUUGUCUGCUGCCCAGGAACCCAGUCUCUGAAUUUACCGUCAUUUAUUCUUUCUGCCAUUCUUGGGUAUUCUGGAUGUUCCUAGUUCAGACGAACGCCGCCCUGCGUAUUCGUGCUUGUUUCUUUGGUGCAGGUGUGUAUGCGUUUCUGUUGGUGUUCACAGGAGUGGCACUGCAGAGGGCCAGGGUCUGCGUCUGUCCAGCCUGAGUAGACACUGCCCAAAGUGGCGGUGCUGCCGCCAGCCGUGUGUGAGCCGUCCGCCGUUCCCCAGCGCUUGGUGUCGUCAGCUCGUUCGUUGCGGCUGUCCGGUGGGCACCGAGUGGAGGAGGCUCAGUGUGCUGUGGGCUGGCCGCUGCCCGGUGGCCGGGGACGCGCAGAAGCAGACUCUUUGUGUGUGUCUGUUGGCGGUUUCGAGAUCCUCUCUUGUGAGUGCUUGUCCUUUGCCCGUUUUUCGAUUGGGUUUUCUGUGUUGUUUCUUACUGAGUUGAAGGAGUUCUUUUCAUAUGUUCUGAGUACAAGUUAUAUAUUCUGAGUACAUGUGUGUGUGGCAGGUUUUUUUACAUUCUUGUGUAUGUUUGCCCUUUCGCUCUCAGUGGUGUCUUGAUAAGCAGAAGUUUUAAUUGUAAUCUAGCCCGAUGGAUCAGUCUUUUCAGUAAUAUUGAAUGCUCUUUGUGUUCAUUGGAAGAUAGUAUCACAAAGAUCAUGAAGAUAUUAUCCUGUAAAAGCUUUAUGAUUUUAUCUUUCACAUUUAGACCUGUAAUCCAUCUGAAAGUGAUUUUUGUUUGUGGUGUGAGAUAACGGCCAAGGUUCCUUUUUUUCCUUAAGUGUAUGCUAUACAGUUGACCGAGAAUAAUUUAUUAAACAGACCCUCCUCUCCCCAGUGCACUACAGUGUCGUCUGUGUCAUCAGGCAAGUGACCGUAAAUAUACGGGCCUGGAUCUAGACUCCGCUCUGCCCCGUUGGUCUUUGCACAAGCAGCACGCUGUGUAAAUUGCUGUAGAUUUAGCCUGUCCUGGCAUCUGGUAAUUUGAGUCCCCCAGCCUCGUUCUUGUGCAAGGCUAGCUGGGCUAAUCUUCACCCUUUACAUCCUCGGUUAAAAUGUAGAGUCUGCGUGGCCGCCUCUCCCCGGAAAACGUGCUCUGAUUUUCACUGAGAUUGCGUUUCAUCUGUAGACUAGCGUGGGGAGAAAUGACAGCUUCUUAAUAUUGGUCUUACAGGGGCCCACCCGGUGUGCGGCGGUUAAGUUUGCGCUCUGCUUUGGCGGCCCAGGGUUUGCAGGUUUGGAUCCCGGCUGUGGACCUGCGCACCACUUAUCAAGCCGUGCUGUGGCAGGCGUCCCACGUAUAAAGUGGAGGAAGAUGGGCAUGGACGUUAGCUCAGGGCCAGUCUUCCUCAGCCAAAAGAGGAGGAUUGGCAGCAGAUGUUAGCUCAGGGCUAGUCUUCCUCGGAGGGAAAAAACAUGGGUUUUAAAAUCCAUGAACACAAUAUAGCCUUCUAUUUAUUUAGCUCUUCUUUAAUUUGUCUUAAUACUAUACAGUUUUCUGUAUAUGUAUCGUCUACAUGUUUAAUUACAUUUAUUCAUAGAUAUUUCACAUUUCUUAUUUUAUUAUAAAUUAUAUUAUGUAAUUGUUUAUUACUGUUAUAUAGUGAUAGAAUUGAUUUUUGCGUAUUCACUUGCUAAAUCCAUUUAUUUCUAAUAGUAAUUCUUCUUGUAUUUUCUAGGUGUUCACAAGUAUGUCUGCAAGAGACAGUUUCUUUUCUUUUUUGUUUCCAAGUGCUGUACUCGUUUUUCUUUUUCUUGCCUCGCUGGCCUGGCUGGGACCUCCAGCACAGUGCUGAGUAGAAGUGGUGAGGGUAGGGAUCCUCGUCUCCCUCCCAGUGUCAGAGGGAAGGCUUUCGGUAUCUCACUGUUAUAUCUGAUGUUGGCUGUAGCUUUUCCAUAAAUAUUUUUAUCGAAAUAUCCAAAUUCUCCUCUAUUAGUUUGCUAAGUGUUUUUUUAAAUCAUGAAUUAAAUUAUUAAAUUUUCUUAAGUGCAUUUUCUGCAUCUUUUGAGACAGUCCAGUUUUUUUCCUUUUAUGUGGUGAUUUACCUUUUAGUUUGCAAUUCUAGAAGAAUCCCAACCUGACCUUGAUGUAUUCUACUUUCCCCGGAUUUUGUUUGUUAAUAUUUUAAGAUUGUUGCGUCUGUGUUUGUGAGAGCUUGGUCUGUAACUUUGCUGUCUUGUGUUGUCCUUGUUAGGUUUGGCUCGUGCUCGUCUCCUAACACAAAGUGGAAAGCGUUCCUUGUUGAUUCCCAGAAGAGCCCCUGUGAGACUGGUGUUUUCUUUCUUGCAGUUUUGGAAGAAUUGACCAGCAAAACCAGCUGGUGUAAGGUUUUCUUUGUGAGAAGGCUUUUAGUUUCAGAUUCAGUUAUUUACGUGGAAAUAGGAUUUUUCUGAUUUUAUAUUUCUUCUUGUGUCUGUUUGGGUAAGAUGCUCUUUUUUCCUAGGAAUUUGUUCAGGCCACCCAAACUUUCCAAUUAUUAAGUGUAAUAUGGUUCAUAAUAUCCUUAUUUUGUGCAAGAUCUCUUGUAAUAUCCCCUUUUAAAAAUUUUUGAUAUUGGUAAUUUGUCCUUUUCUCUUUUUCUUCAUCGGUCUUGCUAGAGUCUUAUGAAUUGUAGUAGCCCUUUCAAAGGACAGCUUUUGGCUUUAUUGAUUUUUUUCUGUUUAGUAUUUGUUCUCUAUUUUGUUAAUUUAUGCUUUUUUCCUUCCAUUUACUUUGUGUUCUGUUUGCUGUUCUUUUUUCUAGUUUCUUGAGAUAGAUGCUUAACUGAUUUUGGCUCUUUCGUCUUUUCCAGUCUCUGUAUGUGAGGCUCCAGCUGGCCCUGUAAGUGCACCUUUAGCUGCAUCCCGCAAGUUCUGAAAGCCAGAUUUUCGUUCUCACUUGUGUGAAAACAUGUUCUGAUGUUCAUCGUGGUAUCUUUUUUUACUCAUAAAGUUUUUAAAGAAUUAUGUCACUUGACUUCCCAAUGUUUGUGGGGAUUCUCUGGUUAGCUUUUUGUUGGUUUCUACCUUCCUUGCAUGAAGAUCCCUGUCUUGGUCUUUUGGGGCUGCUAUAAUCAGAUGCAUAGACUAACUGGUUUCUGAACAACAGAAGUUUAUUUCGCAUCGUUCUGGAGGCUGUGAAGUCCCGGAUCAAGGCACCGGCAGAUUCCGUGGCUGGUGAGGGGCCGCUUCCUGGUUCGUAGACGGCCAGCCUCUCACUGUCCUCACAUGGCGGAGGGGGCGAGGGAGCUCUCUCAACUCCAGACUAAUCACCUCGCAGAGUCCCCGCCUCCUGAUACCAUCACCUUGGGGCUGACGAAUUUUAGGGGGACGUAAACUGUCAGUCUGUUGUAAUCUCUACGUACACCCUGCAUUAUUUCAACGUUUUGAAAUGAGUCGAGCUUUCCUAAUGGCCCAGCAUACAUUCAUUUUUGUUAAACGUUCCUUGGGCCCUUGAAAAUGUUAUUUAUCGGUGAGAAUGCAGUGUUGUAUGUAUACCAGUUAGAUCAAGUUUGUUAAUCAUAUAAUUUAGAUUCUAGUAGCCACAUUACAUAAAGUAAAAAGAAAUAGGUGAAAUUAAUUUUGAUAAUGUAUUUUAUUUAACCUAAAUAUCCAAAAUAUUAUAAUUUCAAUGUGUAAUCAACAUGAAAAGACUACUGAAA